GCGUUUCUCCCACCUGCCCUGGCCUCUAACCCGGCUCUGAAAGAGGUAAUAGAGGACUUGAAGGCAUCACACAGAAGGUACAACUUCAAAUCCUGUUCUAAGGCUUGGGAGCAGAUCUAUGGACCCCACUCCUGAGUCAAUUUGCCGUAAAACAUGUGAUGCUGUGCUGGAGCCUAGGCAAAGCCAGGUGAGAUGUGGUUCCUGCUAUCAAGCUGACUAACAUCUAUCAGGAAGAAUAGAUCAUGGUAACUUACAUGAUAAUAGAGUUACAUGUGGGGUCUUGAAAUAAAAGUGAUCAUCUAAAUCAGACAGGGAGGUCAGGAACGUAUCCUGGAGGAAGAGAUACUCAGGCUGAGUUUUGAGAGAAAGUAAGAGUGUAGUAGUCAGACCUGACUCAGAACACUGGCCAUUGUCACCCCUCCCUCUAAGGCAAGCUGCCUGUCACCCGUGGACCAGCUGGUGUGAAGACUGCAUUGCAGCACCUGAGCCGCCAGCCC
This 497-nucleotide long non-coding RNA is filed under the name Callithrix jacchus (white-tufted-ear marmoset). RNAcentral's name for it is "lncRNA (ENSCJAG00000059420.2)". Lineage: Eukaryota; Metazoa; Chordata; Mammalia; Primates; Cebidae. The record is from RNAcentral.